AGUGCGCGUCGUCGGCCGCGCCGAGCGCAUCUCCCGUGCGGAGAGCGAGGAGUACUUCCACUCCCGCCCGCUCGGAUCACAGAUUGGGGCGUGGGCGAGCAGGCAGAGCAGCGUUGUCGCCGAGGGCGAGGUGCAGGCGCGAGUGGGCUACCUCACGGAGAAGUUCGGGGACGAGGUGCCCGCGCCGGACUUCUGGGGCGGGUGGAG
RNAcentral lists this unclassified non-coding RNA (207 nucleotides) under Hevea brasiliensis (rubber tree). The record is from RNAcentral. Lineage: Eukaryota; Viridiplantae; Streptophyta; Magnoliopsida; Malpighiales; Euphorbiaceae.